AAACGUAGAAGGGACCGAUGGUAGAUGAUUGAGCAGUGGUGCCACCUGUAACACCUGCCAGAGCCAAAUGGGCAUAAAGAGUCAGGGCCUGAGUUAGAAAUUCAGUUCAAGAGACGCUCUAGAACGUGUGGAUGCGUCUUGAAACGGUUGCACUUCUAAUUGUUACGACAAAAUUGUGUUAAUACUGUGAUAAAAACGUGUUGUGUUAGAAAGACGAUUAAAGAAAAUUAGUAAUUUAUUAAUGGAUGUUGAACAUUAAUUGGUUCAAAUUUGAAUUGUGAAAUAAGAUUUUUACAACGUGGAAGAGAAGCAGAACGGGACACAAACGAUGCCAAAGCAAUGCAGGCAAAAUUUUGUACUUCUUCAUUUCUUAUUUCUUCAAUAAUUCCUUCUGUAGGGAUAGAUUUGAAUCGUAAUCAUGUAGUAUGCAGAUUCAUUUUAAUUUCAAGUGAUGUGGAAUUGCAGUUACAUAGAAAUGGUGACUGUUGUUGCAUCGUGUCGAUAUUGCAAGAUCGAUAAAAAUCGCACGCAUCCGGGUUUAACAAUUUUUAAAAAUAAAAGCCAUGGGUGACCGAAUAUAAAAUAAAGAAGAAACGUAUUCACGGAGUGAAUCAGUGUCAGAUACGUUACAACUGACGUGAUGUUAUUAGUACAUACCAAUGAAACAAUGGCGUGUUAAAUUAUUCAUGAGGUCAUUGUUGCAUCGUAACGCAGAUUCAAACGUCGAGCAAUUUGAGUUUCGCAGGCUAUAGUGGACCACGAUGCAUCUUUAUCCGAUGCCCUGAAGCAAAUGGCCGGUAUACAUAUGUCGAAAGAGUUGCGUCAGGCGAGAAGAAAAAUCUGCGAAUCGGACCGGUUGUAACAACGAGUCAAUCUACUAGAGAGGAAAAAAAUUCCAAGAUAUCGUGUGUAAGGUUCGCGUUACGUUCAGAAAGACAUACCGAAGAUAGCUAUCUCGGCUCUGUGUCGAUGUACGUCAGUAAAAAGAGAAAUUCUGCAUUAGAAAGAAUAGAUUAGUGAGAAAAUACUUUACGUCAAGAAUGCUACUCGACGGCGUUGUUCAUGAAUGCCAAUGUAAACUCAUUUUAAGAACAUUGAAAAAUAACUGGGAUAGAAGGAAUGAAGAAAAAAGCAGGAUGAUGAAUCAACACGUUUGGACAUUGGGAAUGGAUCAUGCGUUUGUUAGAUGCAAGGAGAAUGUAUUAACGGGAAGAGAGAGGGAGGUAUUCGUUAAACUUUUCACUGGAUUCCACUGGAACGAACUUGGUCCAAUUAAUGCGAUUACUAUGCACCGGAAGCUCCACAUUGUCGUAACAAGGAUGAUCAAAUUUUAAUUCGAAAAGGGAAUCUUAAUAGCACCUUGGGAUUUUAACCUCGCCCUCGUAAAGAACGGCUUAUGUGACUAAGUGGUCGUGAAAGGGUACAAAAAGGAUAAAAAAUAAAGAGAAGAAAGGAAAAUAAAAAAAGAAAGAGGUAUAUUACGUUUGAUAUGACGUGAAAAGCAGGAGAAGGAGGAGAAGAAUAUUCAUGAAGGAAAAAGAAACAGCAAGGGAACUCUAACUUCAGAAGAGGAUUUCCCUUUAUCAUUCAAAACAGCGCAGGAAGGAAACACAUGUGGGAAACAACGACAGAACUCUUCAACUCUUAUAUGCAAAUCACAAACGUUCUCAGUUAACAGGGAGUGUGACGAUCAAAGGGAUUGAAAACUUUCAGACAUGUGCACGUGCGUACACACUUAAUCGACAGUUAAAGGAGAAGAAAAAGAAAAGCG
Apis florea (little honeybee) is the source of this 1771-nucleotide unclassified non-coding RNA. Lineage: Eukaryota; Metazoa; Arthropoda; Insecta; Hymenoptera; Apidae. The record is from RefSeq and is a predicted model, not a curated record.